GAUGAACGCUGGCGGCGUGCCUAACACAUGCAAGUCGAGCGAUUUACUUCGGUAAAGAGCGGCGGACGGGUGAGUAACGCGUGGGUAACCUGCCCUGUACACACGGAUAACAUACCGAAAGGUAUGCUAAUACGAGAUAAUAUGCUUUUAUCGCAUGGUAGAAGUAUCAAAGCUUUUGCGGUACAGGAUGGACCCGCGUCUGAUUAGCUAGUUGGUAAGGUAACGGCUUACCAAGGCGACGAUCAGUAGCCGACCUGAGAGGGUGAUCGGCCACAUUGGAAACUGAGACACGGUCCAAACUCCUACGGGAGGCAGCAGUGGGGAAUAUUGCACAAUGGGCGAAAGCCUGAUGCAGCAACGCCGCGUGAGCGAUGAAGGCCUUCGGGUCGUAAAGCUCUGUCCUCAAAGAAGAUAAUGACGGUACUUGAGGAGGAAGCCCCGGCUAACUACGUG
Molecule: ribosomal RNA, 453 nt
Filed under: uncultured bacterium
Lineage: Bacteria
Description: bacterial SSU rRNA
Rfam family: Bacterial small subunit ribosomal RNA
Source: RNAcentral